RNAcentral lists this ribosomal RNA (466 nucleotides) under uncultured bacterium. RNAcentral describes it as "partial 16S ribosomal RNA". It matches the Rfam family "Bacterial small subunit ribosomal RNA", at positions 28 to 507 of the family's 1533-position model. The record is from RNAcentral.
GAUGAACGCUGGCGGCGUGCUUAACACAUGCAAGUCGAACGGAAAGGCCCAAGCUUGCUUGGGUACUCGAGUGGCGAACGGGUGAGUAACACGUGGGUGAUCUGCCCUGCACUUCGGGAUAAGCCUGGGAAACUGGGUCUAAUACCGGAUAGGACCACAUUUUGGAUGGUGUGGUGGAAAGUUUUUCGGUGUGGGAUGAGCUCGCGGCCUAUCAGCCUGUUGGUGGGGUAAUGGCCUACCAAGGCGUCGACGGGUAGCCGGCCUGAGAGGGUGUACGGCCACAUUGGGACUGAGAGACGGCCCAGGCUCCUACGGGAGGCAGCAGUGGGGAAGAUUGCACAAUGGGCGCAAGCCUGAUGCAGCGACGCCGCGUGGGGGAUGACGGCCUUCGGGUUGUAAACUCCUUUCGCUAGGGACGAAGCGUUAUGUGACGGUACCUGGAGAAGAAGCACCGGCUAACUACGUG